Molecule: transfer RNA, 2150 nt
Filed under: Paramuricea clavata
Lineage: Eukaryota; Metazoa; Cnidaria; Anthozoa; Malacalcyonacea; Plexauridae
Source: RNAcentral
CAUAAACAUACUCGUUUAUAUUAAUUCAGCAUCGAACAAUACUAGUUCUGCAAGUGUUAGGCUAUAUAACACUUAAAUAUGAUGUUUGUGAUGUUACUCUGAGUUACACCGGGCAAGCUGAAAAGUUUUGCCUGACCACGGUGGGAAUCGGAACCCGCGACCUUUGGGAUACUAGUCCAAUGCUCUACCAACUAAGCUACGAGAUCAAGUCGGUUCGAGUUGAUAAUAUUUCGGAACUGAGUCUAUAUAGUUCCUUCGAUAUCAAUGUAUUCUAAGGUAUGAUACUUUUUGUGUUUGUUGAUGUUAUGUACUUAUGUGAAUAUGUAGUUGUGGUGUUACUCUGAGCGUAUAUCCACACCGGGCAAGCUGAAAAGUUUGCCUGACCACGGUGGGAAUCGAACCCGUGACCUUUGGGAUACAUCGAUAUCGAAGGAACUAGACUCAGUUCCGAAAUAUAGCAUCAACUCGAACCGACUUGAUCUCGUAGCUCAGUUGGUACAGCAAUAGGACUAGUAUCCCAAAGAUCGCAGGUUCGAUUCCCACCUUGGUCAGGCAAACUUUUCAGCUUGCUCGGUGUCGAUGCAUACUCGAGUAACACCACAAACAUCAUACCAAAUAAGUCAAAACACUUGGGAUUCUGGGGGUGGGACUAACUCACGCGGGCGUUCGUUGCGGGUUAGUAUUGGGGUAUUAGAGAUUACGAAACCGGAUGUCAAUUAAUUAAGUUUAUUGAUAUCACCCGCAACGAACGCCCAUGCAUGAGUUACGCAAUUUAGACAAACCCUCCUUCUGCAUGCUGUAGCUACAAUCUCAGUUGGACAUAACUGGUCGAAACUGUUUUUCCCCCAUAUAAAAUUCGCAUAUUUUUAUGACAAACUCCAUGUUGAGUCAUGUUGCCUUUCUUAAGCCCCCACUCCCCCAACUCAAUGUUGAGCUUGUGUCAUGGUAUAUUACCAAAAGUUGUUUCGGCAUUGUUUACAACAUUGAACUGAGGGGAGGGGGAGACAAAGUUUGUUUUGUCAAUGUUCAAUAACUUUGUAAUAUUGGCUGGAAUGGUAUCAAGCGUUUUGUCCACGAUUGUAGCUCAUUAAAAUCCAAUACGUCAUGUGUUCAAGUAUGUGGGUUGUCUGUGGGAUAUGUUUUAGCUCAUUGUGACUCGGUAGGCAGUUUAUGGGUUGUUUGUGAUCAGUUUUUUUUUCAAUUAAGGAUCACUUUGGCUCGUUAUUUCGUCCCUGAGACGUUUGGUUGGUUGGUUGAUUGUUACGCAAGGAUAUAUUAUAGUGCGUGAUAUAUUUAUACAGUGUGAUAUAACAUUUUGAUAUCACUGAUAAACAUAUCAUUUGUGGUAACUUAGUAUAAGAGUACGAUAAUAACUUCAUGCAGAGAAGGAUCCCAUGCCCUACAGCCCCGUACAGACGAGCUAGUUUUCUUUGUCAACUUUUAUUUAUUCGUGUGUACCCUUUUUUCGCUGUGUAUGCUUUGUUCAAACGCUGGUCAUGCCAGGAAAAUCUUGACAAGUAAGUAGUACGUCAAUAACGUCACUGCAUGUGCACUCAACUUUGAGCGGCCAUUGCCAUUAAAUCUCAUUUAUUUUGAACUCCACUCUGAAGUUUUUUAAUUUUGUUGGAAGCAAUUUUGGACGAACAUUAUCAUGAAAAUGUUUACCUACUUUAAAAAUACCUCAUAAAACUUGUCAAGGAAAAAUUGAAUUGAUUGAAAAAAUUCGUACACGAGCAAGUAAAUCCGUCAAGGAGAACUUCAAGUGUUCGUCUGUACGGGGCUAAACUUUUCCAUAAAAAAAUAAUUCUAUAUUCGUUGCUUUUGAAUAUCAUUCCUUUCAUUUCUACAUAUAAUUUACACAUUGACAUAUAGAUUAUAGAAUCUUCUCGCGUUCAGAAUGUAGUUUUGUAUUCAUGUUGGAAUCGGCAACAUGCAUAUGAUUUCAUAACUGGGAGAAAGGAAAUUAGUAGCUGUCAUUCCAGAAAUUGCCAGUAUGUAGAUUAUACAUUUUUCUAUAUUCUCGACAAGUCUCGAUUAUUCGUCGCAAAGCCAAAGGUGCGGCCGAACAUGCUUGUAUAAAGAUGCGGUUGAACUCUCUUAUCUGCCGGAUGAGGAUUGUUAGCUACAAAGCAAGUUGCUGACAGAGUGCG